This 253-nucleotide ribosomal RNA is filed under the name uncultured bacterium. RNAcentral describes it as "partial 16S ribosomal RNA". It matches the Rfam family "Bacterial small subunit ribosomal RNA", at positions 524 to 776 of the family's 1533-position model. The record is from RNAcentral.
UACGUAGGGAGCAAGCGUUGUUCGGAUUUACUGGGCGUAAAGGGCGCGUAGGCGGCCUGUCAAGUCAACUGUGAAAUCUCCGGGCUUAACUCGGAACGGUCAGUUGAUACUGUCAGGCUAGAGUGCAGAAGGGGCAAUCGGAAUUCUUGGUGUAGCGGUGAAAUGCGUAGAUAUCAAGAGGAACACCUGAGGUGAAGACGGGUUGCUGGGCUGACACUGACGCUGAGGCGCGAAAGCGUGGGGAGCAAACAGG